RNAcentral lists this ribosomal RNA (433 nucleotides) under uncultured bacterium. RNAcentral's name for it is "partial 16S ribosomal RNA". It matches the Rfam family "Bacterial small subunit ribosomal RNA", at positions 29 to 507 of the family's 1533-position model. The record is from RNAcentral.
AACGAACGCUGGCGGCAUGCCUAACACAUGCAAGUCGAACGAGACCUUCGGGCUUUGUUGCGCACGGCUGCGUAACGCGUGGGAACUUGCCCUUGGGUUCCGUAUAACUCCCCGAAAGGGGUGCUAAUACCGGAUAAUGUCUUCGCACCAAAGAUUUCUCGCCAUUGGAUGGGCGCUCGUUGGAUUCGCUAGUUGGUAGGGUAAUAGCCUACCAUGGCGACGAUGCAUAGCUGGUCUGAGAGGAUGAUUCGCCACACUGGGGCUGAGACACGGCCCAGACUCCGACGGAAGGGAGGAGAGGGGAACAUUGGGCGAGGGGCGAAAGUCUGAUCCAGCAAUGCCGCGUGAGAGAUGAAGGCCUUAGGGUUGUAAAGCUCUUUUACCCGAGAUGAUAAUGACGGUACCGGGUGAAUAAGCACCGGCUAACUACGUG